This 268-nucleotide ribosomal RNA is filed under the name Arachnodes sp. 1 HKW-2010. Its description in RNAcentral is "partial 28S ribosomal RNA". It matches the Rfam family "Eukaryotic large subunit ribosomal RNA", at positions 688 to 921 of the family's 3401-position model. The record is from RNAcentral. Lineage: Eukaryota; Metazoa; Arthropoda; Insecta; Coleoptera; Scarabaeidae.
GAGUCAUUGGGACUAAUGUUAAACCUAAAGGCGCAAUGAAAGUAAAGGUCCGCCUCGCGCGGACCGAGGGAGGAUGGGCCCGCCCACGGGCGGGCCCCGCACUCCCGGGGCGUCUCGUUCUCAUCGCGAGAAGAGGCGCACCCAGAGCGUACACGCUGGGACCCGAAAGAUGGUGAACUAUGCCUGGUCAGGACGAAGUCAGGGGAAACCCUGAUGGAGGUCCGUAGCGAUUCUGACGUGCAAAUCGAUCGUCGGAACUGGGUAUAGG